CCUUACUGACGCUAUUCUUGCGAGUGUUCACACAGAUUGUAUAGGUUGAAGUUAUAAGAGGAUAUGUUCCCAAACAUAUCAGCGUGUCCCAUUCGUCUAGAGGCCUAGGACACCGCCCUUUCACGGCGGUAACAGGGGUUCGACUCCCCUAUGGGACGCCACUUUAUAAAUGCAUUUACGAAUGUGAUUACAAAGUGGUUUGUCUAAUGACAAACGACAUGCUCUUUAACAAUCUGGAAAGCUGACAAGUCAUUCUUUAAGAAUGACAGUAAAGUUCUCAAUCAGUGACAUAUCAUGUCACUCACACAAUCAAGUGUGCUUGGACUUUGUCUUAUUGAAUCAAUAACGACAAAGCUUCUAUUUGAGUCCGGCAAAAACAAAACCUUAAUUGGUUGAUGAUUCAACACUCAGUGGUUUUGCGACGUAGAUUUCUUUUUUAGGCAACGCGCGCGAGACUUUUGCCGCCGAGAGCGUAACGUGUUACGUGACCAAGCAAAAGUUAAGCAAGAGGCAGCAUAAAAGAGAAAGAUCGAGCAAAAAAGACCUCUUGGGGUUGUAU
RNAcentral lists this transfer RNA (559 nucleotides) under Salinivibrio costicola. RNAcentral's name for it is "partial 16S-23S ribosomal RNA intergenic spacer". The stretch from base 86 to 158 matches the Rfam family "tRNA". The record is from RNAcentral. Lineage: Bacteria; Pseudomonadati; Pseudomonadota; Gammaproteobacteria; Vibrionales; Vibrionaceae.